GUGCUCAUUUUGGCAGCUCAUGUACUAAAAUUGGAACAUACAGAGAGAUUAGCACGGCUCCUGCACAGAUGACAUGUAAACCCGUGAAGCCUGCCAUGUUUUA
Molecule: small nuclear RNA, 103 nt
Filed under: Vicugna pacos (alpaca)
Lineage: Eukaryota; Metazoa; Chordata; Mammalia; Artiodactyla; Camelidae
Source: RNAcentral